CUCACCCAAUGACUGCUGGGACAUCGUCUCCCCCCAGUGUCCUUGAAAAAUGAAUGAGGUGCUGGAGGAUGAAUUAAUGAAUAAAAGAAAAAAGAAAAGGACGGAGGAGAAGAAGGAGGAGCAGCUUAUUCAACAGGUUAAUAAAGUGAUAUCAGUGUUUCUCACAGACACAGACACAGACAGCGCCUCCACACAUGGCUGACGGAGCAGCAGCGGAGUGAAGAUGAAGGCGUCGUUUCAGCAGCAGCUUGUUCAUCAGCAGUGAUGAGAAGGAGCUGAGACGCUGCAGCGUUUUUAAUUAGUGUCUCUGCGCUGGUUCUGCCACUUAACUCUGCUGGACAUAAAAUCAAACCAGCAGUAAAACACACACACACACACACACACACACUCCGAGCUGCAGAACACCAAAUGACAUCCUAAACACACAAACAUAUAAAUAAUAAAUCACUCAGACUGAACAGCUGGAAAAAAAACCCCCAACAUUUCCAGGAGAUUUUCAACAGUUUUGACAUCAAGGAUCAACGGGUCAGUGAUGAGUUGUUGUUGUUGUUGUUGUUGUUGACUUUGUUGUUCUCUAUCCAGGUCCAACGUUUGUUCUUGGAUUCUUGUCAAAUCAACGUUUCAAAACAUAAAACCAGGUCUGACUGUCAGUGUGAACGCUGGCUCGUCUCUUUACGUGACCCUGUGUUGCCCCCCCCCUCCACCUCUCCUCCCCAGAUGACGGCUGGAAAUGGCUUUAACAGCAUCUUUAUCAUGUGAACCCACUUUGAGGAGUAAAAUGAUGUGAGAGAAACCAGUCGUCCACUCACACGUGAACCAGACUCUCCGCUCGUCCUUGUCUCUGUCACUGAUCUGACUGGUCCAGACCCUCCGGGCCUCUUUGUCCGCGGACGAAUCAUUUCGGCG
Long non-coding RNA from Cynoglossus semilaevis (tongue sole), 906 nucleotides. RefSeq lists it as uncharacterized. NCBI's taxonomy places the organism in Eukaryota, Metazoa, Chordata, Actinopteri, Pleuronectiformes, Cynoglossidae. The transcript is spliced from 4 exons. The record is from RefSeq and is a predicted model, not a curated record.